UACGAAGGGGGCUAGCGUUGUUCGGAAUUACUGGGCGUAAAGCGCGCGCAGGCGGCUAUCCAAGUCAGUGGUGAAAGCCCGGAGCUCAACUCCGGAACUGCCAUUGAAACUGUUUAGCUUGAGGACGAGAGAGGUGAGUGGAAUUCCCAGUGUAGAGGUGAAAUUCGUAGAUAUUGGGAAGAACACCCGUGGCGAAGGCGGUUCUCUGGGACGGUACUGACGCUGAGACGCGAAAGCGUGGGGAGCGAACAGG
RNAcentral lists this ribosomal RNA (253 nucleotides) under uncultured bacterium. RNAcentral's name for it is "partial 16S ribosomal RNA". It matches the Rfam family "Bacterial small subunit ribosomal RNA", at positions 524 to 776 of the family's 1533-position model. The record is from RNAcentral.